GACGAACGCUGGCGGCGUGCCUAACACAUGCAAGUCAACUUGACUGAAGGAGCAAUCUGACAGUAGAGUGGCGCAAGGGUGCGUAACGCGUAAGUAACUUGCCCAAGGUAAGGAAUAACGUCGAGAAAUCGGCGCUAAUACCUCAUAAUGCAGCGGAUCCGCAUGGAUAUGUUGUUAAAGGUUUACCGCCUUGGGGUAGGCUUGCGUCUGAUUAGCUAGUUGGUGUGGUAACGGCACACCAAGGCUACGAUCAGUAACUGGUCUGAGAGGAUGAUCAGUCACACUGGAACUGAGACACGGUCCAGACUCCUACGGGAGGCAGCAGUGAGGAAUAUUGGGCAAUGCUCGAAAGAGUGACCCAGCAACGCCGCGUGGAGGAUGAAGGUAUUCUAUAUCGUAAACUCCUGUGAGAGCAGACGAAGACAGAUUAUAAUCUGGAUGACUGUAUGCUCAGAGGAAGCCCCGGCUAAC
This 471-nucleotide ribosomal RNA is filed under the name uncultured bacterium. RNAcentral's name for it is "bacterial SSU rRNA". It matches the Rfam family "Bacterial small subunit ribosomal RNA", at positions 28 to 501 of the family's 1533-position model. The record is from RNAcentral.